Molecule: transfer RNA, 79 nt
Organism: Wallemia ichthyophaga EXF-994
Lineage: Eukaryota; Fungi; Basidiomycota; Wallemiomycetes; Wallemiales; Wallemiaceae
Rfam family: tRNA
About the family: Transfer RNA (tRNA) molecules are approximately 80 nucleotides in length. Their secondary structure includes four short double-helical elements and three loops (D, anti-codon, and T loops).
Source: Rfam
GGUCCUAUAGUGUAGUGGUCAUCACGUCGGUCUCUGACGCAGACAUCCGGAGUCGCCGGUUCGAAUCCGGCUGGGACCU